GAUGAACGCUGGCGGCGUGCCUAAUACAUGCAAGUCGAGCGAACAGACGAGGAGCUUGCUCCUCUGACGUUAGCGGCGGACGGGUGAGUAACACGUGGAUAACCUACCUAUAAGACUGGGAUAACUUCGGGAAACCGGAGCUAAUACCGGAUAAUAUAUUGAACCGCAUGGUUCAAUAGUGAAAGACGGUUUUGCUGUCACUUAUAGAUGGAUCCGCGCCGCAUUAGCUAGUUGGUAAGGUAACGGCUUACCAAGGCAACGAUGCGUAGCCGACCUGAGAGGGGGGGAGUGCACAAGUAAGCAAUGGCACGGACCGGACGAAUGCGUGAGGCAGCAGGGGGGAGUGAGGGGUGAUGGGCGAGAGCCUGAAAGAGAAAGUGAUCGGGAAUGAUGAAAGUCUUAUGAAAGUAUAACCCUCUUGUUAGGACAGAAAAAAUGAGCAAGGGACUACGCAGGGCAAGACGGCGCCUAAACAGAGAGCCGCGCCUACCUAGGUC
Molecule: ribosomal RNA, 497 nt
Filed under: uncultured bacterium
Lineage: Bacteria
Description: partial 16S ribosomal RNA
Rfam family: Bacterial small subunit ribosomal RNA
Source: RNAcentral